This 108-nucleotide small RNA is filed under the name Metabacillus harenarius. RNAcentral describes it as "Bacillus weihaiensis Guanidine-I sequence". It matches the Rfam family "Guanidine-I riboswitch aptamer". Rfam says of the family: This family represents a conserved RNA structure found upstream of the ykkC and yxkD genes in Bacillus subtilis and related genes in other bacteria. The record is from Rfam by way of RNAcentral. Lineage: Bacteria; Bacillati; Bacillota; Bacilli; Caryophanales; Bacillaceae.
AAAAAAGCUGUCUAGGGUUCCGUUGGUUGUUUGUCCUACCAAGUCUGGUCCGAGAGAGAGCGUAUAGCGAAUUCGCUAUAUACACGGAGGGAUAAAAGCCUGGGAGAC